GGGUCUGGGCGGCAGCUAACACAUGCAAGUCGAGCGGUAGCACAGAGAGCUUGCUCUCGGGUGACGAGCGGCGGACGGGUGAGUAAUGUCUGGGAAACUGCCUGAUGGAGGGGGAUAACUACUGGAAACGGUAGCUAAUACCGCAUAACGUCGCAAGACCAAAGUGGGGGACCUUCGGGCCUCAUGCCAUCAGAUGUGCCCAGAUGGGAUUAGCUAGUAGGUGGGGUAACGGCUCACCUAGGCGACGAUCCCUAGCUGGUCUGAGAGGAUGACCAGCCACACUGGAACUGAGACACGGUCCAGACUCCUACGGGAGGCAGCAGUGGGGAAUAUUGCACAAUGGGCGCAAGCCUGAUGCAGCCAUGCCGCGUGUGUGAAGAAGGCCUUCGGGUUGUAAAGCACUUUCAGCGGGGAGGAAGGCGUUAAGGUUAAUAACCUUGUCGAUUGACGUUACCCGCAGAAGAAGCACCGGCUAACUCCGUGCCAGCAGCCGCGGUAAUACGGAGGGUGCAAGCGUUAAUCGGAAUUACUGGGCGUAAAGCGCACGCAGGCGGUCUGUCAAGUCGGAUGUGAAAUCCCCGGGCUCAACCUGGGAACUGCAUUCGAAACUGGCAGGCUAGAGUCUUGUAGAGGGGGGUAGAAUUCCAGGUGUAGCGGUGAAAUGCGUAGAGAUCUGGAGGAAUACCGGUGGCGAAGGCGGCCCCCUGGACAAAGACUGACGCUCAGGUGCGAAAGCGUGGGGAGCAAACAGGAUUAGAUACCCUGGUAGUCCACGCCGUAAACGAUGUCGAUUUGGAGGUUGUGCCCUUGAGGCGUGGCUUCCGGAGCUAACGCGUUAAAUCGACCGCCUGGGGAGUACGGCCGCAAGGUUAAAACUCAAAUGAAUUGACGGGGGCCCGCACAAGCGGUGGAGCAUGUGGUUUAUUCGAUGCAACGCGAGAACCUUACCUGGUCUUGACAUCCACAGAACUUUCCAGAGAUGGAUUGGUGCCUUCGGGAACUGUGAGACAGGUGCUGCAUGGCUGUCGUCAGCUCGUGUUGUGAAAUGUUGGGUUAAGUCCCGCAACGAGCGCAACCCUUAUCCUUUGUUGCCAGCGGUUCGGCCGGGAACUCAAAGGAGACUGCCAGUGAUAAACUGGAGGAAGGUGGGGAUGACGUCAAGUCAUCAUGGCCCUUACGACCAGGGCUACACACGUGCUACAAUGGCAUAUACAAAGAGAAGCGACCUCGCGAGAGCAAGCGGACCUCAUAAAGUAUGUCGUAGUCCGGAUUGGAGUCUGCAACUCGACUCCAUGAAGUCGGAAUCGCUAGUAAUCGUAGAUCAGAAUGCUACGGUGAAUACGUUCCCGGGCCUUGUACACACCGCCCGUCACACCAUGGGAGUGGGUUGCAAAAGAAGUAGGUAGCUUAACCUUCGGGAGGGCGCUUACCACUUGGAUCAAAAUGG
Molecule: ribosomal RNA, 1447 nt
Filed under: Klebsiella pneumoniae
Lineage: Bacteria; Pseudomonadati; Pseudomonadota; Gammaproteobacteria; Enterobacterales; Enterobacteriaceae
Description: bacterial SSU rRNA
Rfam family: Bacterial small subunit ribosomal RNA
Source: RNAcentral